RNAcentral lists this ribosomal RNA (399 nucleotides) under uncultured soil bacterium. RNAcentral describes it as "bacterial SSU rRNA". It matches the Rfam family "Bacterial small subunit ribosomal RNA", at positions 26 to 416 of the family's 1533-position model. The record is from RNAcentral.
AGAUUGAACGCUGGCGGCAGGCCUAACACAUGCAAGUCGAGCGGUAGAGAGGUGCUUGCACCUCUUGAGAGCGGCGGACGGGUGAGUAAUGCCUAGGAAUCUGCCUAGUGGGUGGGGGAUAACGUUCGGAAACGGACGCUAAUACCGCAUACGUCCUACGGGAGAAAGGCGGGGGACCUUCGGGCCUCGCGCCAUUAGAUGAGCCGUAGGUCGGAUUAGCUUAGUUGGUGAGGUAAUGGCUCACCAAGGCGACGAUCCGUAACUGGUCUGAGAGGAUGAUCAGUCACACUGGAACUGGAGACACGGUCCAGACCUCCGUACGGGAGGCAGCAGGUGGGAAUAGUUGGAUAAGUGGGACGAAAGCCUAGACUCCAGCCAGUGCCGCGUGUGUAGAAGGUA